AGUGAACGCUGGCGGUAGGCCUAACACAUGCAAGUUGAACGGCAGCACAGUAAGAGCUUGCUCUUACGGGUGGCGAGUGGCGGACGGGUGAGGAAUACAUCGGAAUCUACUUUUUCGUGGGGGAUAACGUAGGGAAACUUACGCUAAUACCGCAUACGACCUACGGGUGAAAGCAGGGGAUCUUCGGACCUUGCGCGAUUGAAUGAGCCGAUGUCGGAUUAGCUAGUUGGCGGGGUAAAGGCCCACCAAGGCGACGAUCCGUAGCUGGUCUGAGAGGAUGAUCAACCACACAGGAACUGAGACACGAUCCAGACACAGAAGGGAGGCAGAAGUGGGGAAUAUUAAACAAAGAGCGCAAGAAUGAUCCAACCAAACCGCGUAGGUGAAGAAGGCCUUCGAGUUGUAAAACACUUUUGUUGAGAAAGAAAAGCAGCAGGUUAAUAACCCGCUGUUCUGACGGUACCAAAAGAAUAAGCACCGGCUAAAUUCGUG
Molecule: ribosomal RNA, 492 nt
Filed under: uncultured bacterium
Lineage: Bacteria
Description: partial 16S ribosomal RNA
Rfam family: Bacterial small subunit ribosomal RNA
Source: RNAcentral